This 1410-nucleotide long non-coding RNA is filed under the name Mytilus galloprovincialis (Mediterranean mussel). The record is from RNAcentral. Lineage: Eukaryota; Metazoa; Mollusca; Bivalvia; Mytilida; Mytilidae.
UUUAUAUCAUCAAAAUAUAUUUCUAUAUUACAAUAUAUAAUUUAAACAGUAAUAAAUGGUAAAAAUAAUUGUUACUGGAAAUGCUUAAUUCUAUUCUGAGACUUAUCACAAUAAAUAGAUUGAUUUUGCUGUAACUUACAAGGAGUUAAUUAACUAUAAUAAACUUGAGUCUGCGUUGAUUACAUGGCAUCUCUAGACAGUAAAACUGUGAUUUUGAAAAUUUCUUUACCAGGGGAAUUUAUCUAAAACUGGCAUAGUAAUGGUACAUAUUUUACUGCACCAGAAGCUGUCAUAUUGAAACUUUUUUUCUACAGAUGCAUUACUCUGCAAUGUUAAAAAUUAGGACAAAUUUCACAAAAAUUCGAAAGAAAAAAAAAUACUCUUCAGUCAUGAACAUUUCAGUAAAUAACUUACAAACAAUUCUUGCAGUAAGAUUUUUUUGAAACAGCCCCUGCAAUUUUUGAAAACAGGGACAUAAAAUAGUGACUUAAAAAUGGUGUUAGCUGACAUGUUAAAACUUUAUGAUGUUACUACAAAAUGGUAAAAAAACUGGCAAAGCAAGUAAGUAUCAUACUUUUUUUUAAGCAGGGUGGUUAUACAGUCUAUUACUUCCAUAACUUCGAGGAGAGAUCAAAUAAUUUGAAACAAGAGUGCACACACUGAAAAGUCUUUCCUGCUUUACUCGUUAUUUUAGUGCAAUUUUGCCUCUGAUCCUUUUUGAGAGUUUCAAUCAUGUUUAAUACCAAGCUAGUCAUAAGACUUGAAACAAAAACAAUAUAUUUAGUAUUAUCUUUGUCAGUACUAUUUCACCAAUAUAAAAACUAAAAGUUACAUAAGAAAAAAAAAUCUUUAAAUCAAUCAUACGAAUAUAAAUUUUGAAUGUUUAACCAGAAGGAAUAAAUACAGCUGGAUACGACCACAGAGGUCCAACCCUGAACAGUUGGGGCAAAAAUGGACACAAUAUUCGCGCUUGAUACAUACAGGUCUGAAUUUGGAUUGUAAUUCAAUAUUUGACACAUAAUAGGUUUCUGACACAGAAUAACUGUAGUCAAAGAACUUAGAAUUGGUUAUAUGAUUUGAAUUUAUCCAAAAAAAAACUUCUUUCCUUCAGUUAUGGUCAUAAUUUCAAUUCAAAUUUCCAAUGGAGUUUGCAACCAUAAUAACCCAUUUAAAUACAUCAUAAAAGUCUUGAAAUAGAAAAUGACAUACAUAAUCAUAGCUAAAAUUAAUUUACCUUCAAUCAGCAAUUUUAACUUAUUAAAAUAGUAUAUUCUAAAAAUGAAUUGACAGCUAAUCACCUCAAAACAAUACAAAAAUUCUUUAUACAUAAUUUAACAGCAGUGUAAGGGAGGUAAUUCAAAAUUCUGCAGACGAUGACAACGUGAUACCAUUAUACGACCACAAAUGUUU